GCCGUGCGUAGAGACCACACUUUUAAAAGCUCAAGCGCUGAAGAGAAAAUGAUUCAUCUAACCUGAGAUAUGGAAGUUGUAUUAUUUACAAUUUGUGAACAUCUCUCUAUUAUAAAAAAAAAAAAAAAACUUGCAACGAGACAAGACUUUUU
Long non-coding RNA from Polypterus senegalus (gray bichir), 152 nucleotides. RefSeq lists it as uncharacterized. The record is from RefSeq and is a predicted model, not a curated record. The transcript has 2 exons. Lineage: Eukaryota; Metazoa; Chordata; Cladistia; Polypteriformes; Polypteridae.